AGAAAUUUAGGUUAAACAUUAAACCAAGAGCCUUCAAAGCCCUAAAAAGGAGACAAAACCCCCUAGUUUCU
This 71-nucleotide transfer RNA is filed under the name Dierogekko nehoueensis. Its description in RNAcentral is "tRNA-Trp". It matches the Rfam family "tRNA". From Rfam's summary of the family: Transfer RNA (tRNA) molecules are approximately 80 nucleotides in length. Their secondary structure includes four short double-helical elements and three loops (D, anti-codon, and T loops). Lineage: Eukaryota; Metazoa; Chordata; Lepidosauria; Squamata; Diplodactylidae. The record is from RNAcentral.